This 371-nucleotide long non-coding RNA is filed under the name Zea mays. RNAcentral's name for it is "long non-coding RNA (ZMAY_LNC005597)". Lineage: Eukaryota; Viridiplantae; Streptophyta; Magnoliopsida; Poales; Poaceae. The record is from RNAcentral.
CGCGGGGUCCUCCUACUGAGGAAACAAUGGUGCCAGUGGCGCGGCCGGCGGCCCGCUCCGAUCGCUGCCCCCCGAAGGUAAGAUGCCUGGUGUGGCGGCGGAAGCUGCGCGCUUCAGCUAGUUUGUCAGCACUCGGUUUCGUUCAUUCAUGUGAUACCUGUGCGUCUCAGGAGCUCCGGCCGAGCUGAAAGAGGACUCCAAGUUUGUGCUGUUGAACGCGGACGAUCCCGUGCACGGCCCACCGGUGACGGUGAGUGCUCGCAGCUGUUCUACAUCGUUGCAUGCAUGUCAUGCGAGUACAUGGAAACGCUGAAAAUUACAGCAUAUCAACUCCUAUAUAUGUGAAUUUCAGGCGCUAUUGCUCAUCCGAG